This 439-nucleotide ribosomal RNA is filed under the name uncultured bacterium. Its description in RNAcentral is "partial 16S ribosomal RNA". It matches the Rfam family "Bacterial small subunit ribosomal RNA", at positions 338 to 795 of the family's 1533-position model. The record is from RNAcentral.
CCUACGGGAGGCAGCAGUGGGGAAUAUUGCACAAUGGGGGAAACCCUGAUGCAGCGACGCCGCGUGAGUGAAGAAGUAUUUCGGUAUGUAAAGCUCUAUCAGCAGGGAAGAAAAUGACGGUACCUGACUAAGAAGCCCCGGCUAACUACGUGACAGCAGCCGCGGUAAUACGUAGGGGGCAAGCGUUAUCCGGAUUUACGGGGGGUAAAGGGGGCGUAGGCGGCGGGGAAAGUCUGAUGUGAAAGCCCGGGGCGCAACCCGGGACUGCAUUGGAAACAGUAGUGCUGGUGUGUCGGAGAGGUAAGUGGAAUUCCUAGUGUAGCGGUGAAAUGCGUAGAUAUUAGGAGGAACACCAGUGGCGAAGGCGGCUUACUGGACGGCAACUGACGCUGAGGCUCGAAAGCGUGGGGAGCAAACAGGAUUAGAUACCCCAGUAGUC